CUGUGGUCGUGAGAACCUACCCUCUAUGAUUACCGUUAGGAUUAGAUUUAUUUCUUAGAGAUUGUUAUUAUGUGCCUGCAGCAAGCAGAAAUUUGAUUUCUGUUUCAUGUUUAGCACAAGAAGGCUAUGUGAUUAGCUUUCAUAAGGAUCAUUGUAACAUCUUUUAUGAAAAUAAUAAAGUUGCAGAUGGUUUUCUUAUUAA
Molecule: long non-coding RNA, 202 nt
Filed under: Elaeis guineensis (African oil palm)
Lineage: Eukaryota; Viridiplantae; Streptophyta; Magnoliopsida; Arecales; Arecaceae
Description: long non-coding RNA (EGUI_LNC059759)
Source: RNAcentral